RNAcentral lists this ribosomal RNA (199 nucleotides) under uncultured bacterium. RNAcentral describes it as "partial 16S ribosomal RNA". It matches the Rfam family "Bacterial small subunit ribosomal RNA", at positions 328 to 539 of the family's 1533-position model. The record is from RNAcentral.
ACGCUCGACACCUACGGGAGGCAGCAGUGGGGAAUAUUGCACAAUGGGGGGAAACCCUGAUGCAGCGACGCCGCGUGGAGGAAGAAGGUCUUCGGAUUGUAAACUCCUGUUGUUGGGGAAAAAGAGGAUGGUACCCAACAAGGAAGUGACGGCUAACUACGUGCUAGCAGCCGCGGUAAUCUGAGCGGGCUGGCAAGGC